GUGAGGAAUAUUGGUCAAUGGGCGGGAGCCUGAACCAGCCAAGUCGCGUGAAGGAAGAAGGAUCUAUGGUUCGUAAACUUCUUUUGCAGGGGAAUAAAGUGCAGGACGUGUCCUGUUUUGUAUGUACCCUGAGAAUAAGGAUCGGCUAACUCCGUGCCAGCAGCCGCGGUAAUACGGAGGAUCCGAGCGUUAUCCGGAUUUAUUGGGUUUAAAGGGUGCGUAGGUGGUUUGAUAAGUCAGCGGUGAAAGUUUGCAGCUUAACUGUAAAAAUGCCGUUGAAACUGUCGGACUCGAGUGUAAAUGAGGUAGGCGGAAUGCGUGGUGUAGCGGUGAAAUGCAUAGAUAUCACGCAGAACUCCGAUUGCGAAGGCAGCUUACUAAGCUACAACUGACACUGAAGCACGAAAGCGUGGGGAUCAAACAGGAUUAGAAACCCGGGUAGUCC
This 445-nucleotide ribosomal RNA is filed under the name uncultured bacterium. RNAcentral's name for it is "partial 16S ribosomal RNA". It matches the Rfam family "Bacterial small subunit ribosomal RNA", at positions 354 to 796 of the family's 1533-position model. The record is from RNAcentral.